Molecule: long non-coding RNA, 1669 nt
Organism: Nomascus leucogenys (northern white-cheeked gibbon)
Lineage: Eukaryota; Metazoa; Chordata; Mammalia; Primates; Hylobatidae
Exons: 3
Source: RefSeq, a predicted model, not a curated record
CGGGCCCCCGAUCUGCCGCCAGUCGGCGUGCCUGCAGCUGCUGGCUUGACCCCAGACCGGGACUGGCGGAGCGGAACACUGCCCGGUGGGCCCAGGCCGACCGUGCCUGUGGCUCUCCGGAACAAUAAACCCCCGGCCCCAGUGAUGUGGGCCAGACCGGACCUGGAGAGGCGGCACCGCGACUCCUCCCUCAACCCGCCUGGCGGCCGGGGGCAGCGUGACCCGGCCCGCUACCGUGUCACAGCUGGCGACUGACAAACAGCAGGCGACGUCGGGAGAACUCCCCGAGGCACCCGAGACUUCAGCCUUCUCGCUCCGCGGCCCUGCAGGACCUGCCCGUCGGGAGCCCCGGAGUCCGCGGCAGCGCCGAGGGCCCCUCCCCCAGGCCUCUGGGCUCUGAGGGACCAUGCCUGGCCGGAUGCUGCUGCCUGGCUUCAGUGCCAUCUGCAUGUCCUCAGGGAUGACAAAGGACUCAUUGUACCAGAUGUCAAAUUCUACAAGGAGAUGAGGAGACAGAACCUGAGGAAGCCAGUACUCUUUACAUGUUGAGGAUCACAUAUGGUUUUGUUUGAUCUGGUGCAGAAGCUAACAUUAGCUGAUUACCUAAUUGGGCGUAAUUCCUCCUUCGGGGAGUCUGAGGGAAGGGGCUCAAUGCUGGAAGUUUCCCGGUCCCGCGAAAACAUGUCUUUGACAUCCCCAUCUUUGGAGGAUGGGACCAGCUGGGUCUUGGAGGUGGAAACGUAAUCCAAGUCCUUCCCAUUCACAGGGCUGCUGGCACCUUCCUUUCUUGCCAAGGAGCUGGAAGAAGGCACGGAAGCCCCAGGGUUCAGUCAUGGACAGUGAGGUAUCAGAUGCCAGGAUGAGUGACCUUUCUCAGCACUGACUACCCUGGGAACCCCACCUCAUUCAGCUCCCAUCUUGUUCAUAUUCCUAGGUAAAAGCGCAAAUGGUGUGAUGCUAAGCUAGGCAGAUGUGGAGGAAGAAGAGGGCAUUUUUCUCCCUUUUAUCAGAAAAAAGAGCCUUCAGUGGUCUUGGCAGGAAACACUUGGGAAAAAUGGGUACAAUCUCCAUGGAUUGAAAGUGUAUGGACCUGUAGGAUGGGCCACAGGUUCUCAGGAACCACCAUGGCUGCUGAGGUCUGAGUCAUACAGGCUUCCCUGGGAAGGACUGGUAGAGCCCCACACAGGGUGGGUCUGUCUGUGGACCAAUGGUAAAGCAGGAUGGCUCUGCCCUGCUGUUUUUACUGGUACACACCCUGUUCUCCACACCAGCUCCCAGAAAAGUAGCUGUCCUCCCUGCUGAAGCGACAGUGCUUGUUGCCUUUCUCCGAGAAGAGGCAGAUCUGAGGACCGAACUGGCAGGAGGAUGCCCAUGGCUCUUCCCAAAGGUCUGAGGAUAGAAAAUCUGUUUCUUCCUCUUUCCUCCUCCUUGCAACGAGUGUGGCUCAGGGGACUGAGCCUCAACCCAUCGACUACUGCACUGAUUAUCCGGAAGCAGAACAGAGAGGGCUGAGGUGUGACUGCACUCAUGAAGAGGCGGGAGGAAGCCAGGGACACUGGCAUCCUCUGCUGCCGGACUCUUGUCCUGCGUGUAACAGUUUUCUACAAUCAGCUCUGGCCUGUGGCCUGCGCUCACUCACUCUUGCUCACAACGACCUCAAUGACUUGGA